Molecule: ribosomal RNA, 403 nt
Filed under: uncultured bacterium
Lineage: Bacteria
Description: bacterial SSU rRNA
Rfam family: Bacterial small subunit ribosomal RNA
Source: RNAcentral
UAUUGGACAAUGGGCGAAAGCCUGAUCCAGCAAUACCGCGUGUGUGAAGAAGGCCUUAGGGUUGUAAAGCACUUUCAAUUGGGAGGAAAACCUACCGGUCAAUACCCGGUAGCUUGACAUUACCUUUAGAAGAAGCACCGGCUAACUCCGUGCCAGCAGCCGCGGUAAUACGGAGGGUGCGAGCGUUAAUCGGAAUUACUGGGCGUAAAGCGUGCGUAGGCGGUUCGUUAAGUCAGAUGUGAAAGCCCUGGGCUCAACCUGGGAACGGCAUUUGAAACUGGCGGACUAGAGUUUAGUAGAGGGGAGUGGAAUUUCAGGUGUAGCGGUGAAAUGCGUAGAUAUCUGAAGGAACACCAGUGGCGAAGGCGACUCCCUGGACUAGAACUGACGCUGAGGUACGAAA